This 77-nucleotide small RNA is filed under the name Xanthomonas campestris pv. viegasii. RNAcentral describes it as "sX9 sRNA". It matches the Rfam family "Xanthomonas sRNA sX9". Lineage: Bacteria; Pseudomonadati; Pseudomonadota; Gammaproteobacteria; Lysobacterales; Lysobacteraceae. The record is from RNAcentral.
AUGUACCACACGUACACUGCGGUUCUGAGCGCGCCGUCCGCGCCCGCCUGACGGCGGCGCGCGACGUGUUGUUGGCC